This 246-nucleotide long non-coding RNA is filed under the name Lathyrus oleraceus (garden pea). Its description in RNAcentral is "Pisum sativum (pea) long non-coding RNA (PSAT_LNC014124)". Lineage: Eukaryota; Viridiplantae; Streptophyta; Magnoliopsida; Fabales; Fabaceae. The record is from RNAcentral.
AAAUACCAAGGCUUGUCAUCAUAUACUUCUUCUACUGCAAAUACGUGAGCAGGUCUAUCCAAGCGCAUCACGGCAAUGUUGGGAACUUCAUUCCAAUACUUGACAACAAUCAUGGAAGCAAGCGUAGCAAGAGAAUCUGCCAUCCGAUUAUCCUCUCGAGGAAAAUGAUGAAAAUCAACUUCUGUAAAGAACGUUGAAAUCCUUCUUGCGUAAUCUCUGUACGGAAUGAGACCAGGCUGAUUCGUC